AAAGUCGUAACAAGGUUUCCGUAGGUGAACCUGCGGAAGGAUCAUUAAUAAAUCCAAAACCAAGUGGUGGGGGAGGGCCGGAUGCUAUUCUGCUUAACCGUGGAAUAGCAUCCUCCCCCCUCAUCAUUUACUCAUCUUUGUGAACCGGCAAUCUUUCUUCUUGAGAGCAUCUGAUUUGUUUCUAGUGCUCUUUGGAGGGGAGUUUGCUACACACACACGUCUUUUUUUUAUAUCAAUACAUUUGAUGUCACUUUUUUAUAUUAUUUGUGACUGUACUAUGUGUAAACGUAGCAGUACCAAUUCUAAAUAAAAACAACUUUUGACAACGGAUCUCUAGGUUCUC
RNAcentral lists this unclassified non-coding RNA (343 nucleotides) under Basidiomycota sp. RNAcentral's name for it is "partial contains small subunit ribosomal RNA, internal transcribed spacer 1, and 5.8S ribosomal RNA". The stretch from base 1 to 47 matches the Rfam family "Eukaryotic small subunit ribosomal RNA", at positions 1785 to 1831 of the family's 1831-position model. The record is from RNAcentral. Lineage: Eukaryota; Fungi; Basidiomycota.